RNAcentral lists this ribosomal RNA (468 nucleotides) under uncultured bacterium. RNAcentral's name for it is "partial 16S ribosomal RNA". It matches the Rfam family "Bacterial small subunit ribosomal RNA", at positions 28 to 507 of the family's 1533-position model. The record is from RNAcentral.
GACGAACGCUGGCGGCGUGCUUAACACAUGCAAGUCGAACGGAAAGGCCCUGCUUUUGUGGGGUUCUCGAGUGGCGAACGGGUGAGUAACACGUGAGUAACCUGCCCUUGACUUUGGGAUAACUUCAGGAAACUGGGGCUAAUAUCGGAUAUGAGCUCCUGCUGCAUGUGGGUGGUUGGAAAGUUUCGGCGGUUGGGGAUGGACUCGCGGGUUAUCAGCUUGUUGGUGUGGUAGGGGUUUACCAAGGCUUUGACGGGUAGCCGGCCUGGGAGGGUGAACGGCGACAAUGGGACUGCGAGACGGACCAGAAGGCUACGGGAGGCAGCAGUGGGGAAUUUUGCACAAUGGGCGGACGUCUGAUGCAGCAACGCCGGGUGCGGGAUGACGGCCUUCGGGUUGUAAACCGCUUUCGCCUGUGACGAAGCGUGAGUGACGGUAAUGGGUAAAGAAGCACCGGCUAACUACGUG